This 502-nucleotide ribosomal RNA is filed under the name uncultured bacterium. RNAcentral describes it as "bacterial SSU rRNA". It matches the Rfam family "Bacterial small subunit ribosomal RNA", at positions 19 to 518 of the family's 1533-position model. The record is from RNAcentral.
AUGGCUCAGGAUGAACGCUAGCGAUAGGCCUAACACAUGCAAGUCGAGGGCGAGCACAUGAGUAGCAAUACGAUGGUGGCGACCGGCGCACGGGUGAGUAACACGUAUGCAACCUACCUUAACAGGGAAUAACCCGUGAAAACGGACUAAUACUCCAUGACACGGGGUCCGCAUGGGAAUAUUUGUUAAAGAUUUAUCGGUUGAAGAUGGCAUGCGUUCCAUUAGCUUGUUGGUGAGGUAACGGCUCACCAAGGCUACGAUGGAUAGGGGAACUGAGAGGUUUAUCCCCCACACUGGAACUGAGACACGGUCCAGACUCCUACGGGAGGCAGCAGUGAGGAAUAUUGGUCAAUGGAGGCAACUCUGAACCAGCCAAGUCGCCGUGAAGGAUGAAGGUCUUAUGGAUUGUAAACUUCUUUUGCAAGGGAAUAAAGUGGGGGACGUGUCCUCCUUUGCAUGUACCUUGCGAAUAAGGAUCGGCUAACUCCGUGCCAGCCGCAGC